GAUGAACGCUGGCGGCGUGCCUAAUACAUGCAAGUCGAGCGAACAGACGAGGAGCUUGCUCCUCUGACGUUAGCGGCGGACGGGUGAGUAACACGUGGAUAACCUACCUAUAAGACUGGGAUAACUUCGGGAAACCGGAGCUAAUACCGGAUAAUAUAUUGAACCGCAUGGUUCAAUAGUGAAAGACGGUUUUGCUGUCACUUAUAGAUGGAUCCGCGCCGCAUUAGCUAGUUGGUAAGGUACCGGCUUACAAAGGCAACGAUGCGUAGCCGACCUGAGAGGGUGAUCGGCCACACUGGAACUGAGACACGGUCCAGACUCCUACGGGAGGCAGCAGUAGGGAAUCUUCCGCAAUGGGCGAAAGCCUGACGGAGCAACGCCGCGUGAGUGAUGAAGGUCUUCGGAUCGUAAAACUCUGUUAUUAGGGAAGAACAAAUGUGUAAGUAACUAUGCACGUCUUGACGGUACCUAAUCAGAAAGCCACGGCUAACUACGUG
This 497-nucleotide ribosomal RNA is filed under the name uncultured bacterium. RNAcentral's name for it is "partial 16S ribosomal RNA". It matches the Rfam family "Bacterial small subunit ribosomal RNA", at positions 28 to 507 of the family's 1533-position model. The record is from RNAcentral.